RNAcentral lists this transfer RNA (74 nucleotides) under Acholeplasmataceae bacterium. Its description in RNAcentral is "tRNA-Gly". It matches the Rfam family "tRNA". From Rfam's summary of the family: Transfer RNA (tRNA) molecules are approximately 80 nucleotides in length. Their secondary structure includes four short double-helical elements and three loops (D, anti-codon, and T loops). The record is from RNAcentral. Lineage: Bacteria; Bacillati; Mycoplasmatota; Mollicutes; Acholeplasmatales; Acholeplasmataceae.
GCAGGUAUAGUUUAAUGGUAGAACCUCAGCCUUCCAAGCUGAUGGUGCGAGUUCGAUUCUCGUUACCUGCUCCA